AUAAACGCUGGCGGCGCACAUAAGACAUGCAAGUCGAACGAGUAGAGAUAUUUCUUUAGUUAUAUCGAAGCUAGUGGCGGACUGGUGAGUAUAAUGUAAGCAACCUGCCUAUUAGAGGGGAACAACAGUGGGAAACUACUGCUAAUACCGCAUAAUGUUAUUUGGGGGCAUCCCUGAAUAACCAAAGAUUUAUUGCUGAAAGAUGGUCUCGCGUCUGAUUAGCUAGUUGGUGAGGUAACGGCUCACCAAGGCGACGAUCAGUAGCCGGUCUGAGAGGAUGAACGGCCACAUUGGGACUGAGAUACGGCCCAGACUCCUACGGGAGGCAGCAGUGAGGAAUAUUGGUCAAUGGGCGCAAGCCUGAACCAGCCAAGUCGCGUGAAGGACGACGGUCCUAAGGAUUGUAAACUUCUUUUGUCGGGGAGUAAAAUCGGAUAUGUAUAUUCGACUGCAAGUACCCGAAGAAAAAGCAUCGGCUAACUCCGUG
Molecule: ribosomal RNA, 487 nt
Filed under: uncultured bacterium
Lineage: Bacteria
Description: bacterial SSU rRNA
Rfam family: Bacterial small subunit ribosomal RNA
Source: RNAcentral